GAGAAGAACGUAGCGAAAUGCGAUAAGUAAUGUGAAUUGCAGAAUUCAGUGAAUCAUCGAAUCUUUGAACGCACAUUGCGCCCGCCAGUAUUCUGGCGGGCAUGCCUGUUCGAGCGUCAUUUCAACCAUCAAGCCCCAGGCUUGUGUUGGGACCUGCGGCUGCCGCAGGCCCUGAAAACCAGUGGCGGGCUCGCUGUCACACCGGGCGUAGUAGAUUUUAUCUCGCUCAGGGCGUGCUGCGGGUUCCGGCCGUUAAAAAGCCUUUUUUACCCAAGGUUGACCUCGGAUCAGGUAGGAAGACCCGCUGAACUUAAGCAUAUCAAUAAGCGGAGGA
RNAcentral lists this unclassified non-coding RNA (334 nucleotides) under soil metagenome. Its description in RNAcentral is "partial contains 5.8S ribosomal RNA, internal transcribed spacer 2, and large subunit ribosomal RNA". The stretch from base 3 to 119 matches the Rfam family "5.8S ribosomal RNA", at positions 38 to 154 of the family's 154-position model. The record is from RNAcentral.